UAUAAUGUGAGUUCAUCAUUUGGAGCAAGAAUAACCACAAGGGAGAGAGAGGUAUCAUUGCAUAAUUCCUGGCUGCAUCAUACACAUAGCUGAUGAAGAAAGCUGAAUGUUUGACUCUAGCUACAAUUCAGUUUCCAGCCAUUGCAGAGUUCGAGUGUGUCUCAUAUUCUGAUGCUGAGGACAAAGCUGAGGAGACUGAGGUGUGCUGUGUGUUUGGAUCAAGUAGCCCUCACUGCCUGUGGAGCAUCUUCUAUAUGACCCUAUAGGUAAAAUAUUUC
Non-coding RNA from Cyanistes caeruleus (blue tit), 278 nucleotides. Lineage: Eukaryota; Metazoa; Chordata; Aves; Passeriformes; Paridae. The record is from RefSeq and is a predicted model, not a curated record.